CCUAAGGCGAGGCCGAAAGGCGUAGUCGAUGGGAAACGGGUUAAUAUUCCCGUACUUGGUGUUACUGCGAAGGGGGGACGGAGAAGGCUAUGUUGGCCGGGCGACGGUUGUCCCGGUUUAAGCGUGUAGGUGUGUGUUCCAGGUAAAUCCGGUUCACUUUAACACUGAGGCGUGAUGACGAGGCACUACGGUGCUGAAGCAACAAAUGCCCUGCUUCCAGGAAAAGCCUCUAAGCAUCAGGUAACACGAAAUCGUACCCCAAACCGACACAGGUGGUCAGGUAGAGAAUACCAAGGCGCUUGAGAGAACUCGGGUGAAGGAACUAGGCAAAAUGGUGCCGUAACUUCGGGAGAAGGCACGCUGACACGUAGGUGAAGUGAUUUACUCAUGGAGCUGAAGUCAGUCGAAGAUACCAGCUGGCUGCAACUGUUUAUUAAAAACACAGCACUGUGCAAACACGAAAGUGGACGUAUACGGUGUGACGCCUGCCCGGUGCCGGAAGGUUAAUUGAUGGGGUCAGCGCAAGCGAAGCUCCUGAUCGAAGCCCCGGUAAACGGCGGCCGUAACUAUAACGGUCCUAAGGUAGCGAAAUUCCUUGUCGGGUAAGUUCCGACCUGCACGAAUGGCGUAAUGAUGGCCAGGCUGUCUCCACCCGAGACUCAGUGAAAUUGAACUCGCUGUGAAGAUGCAGUGUACCCGCGGCAAGACGGAAAGACCCCGUGAACCUUUACUAUAGCUUGACACUGAACAUUGAGCCUUGAUGUGUAGGAUAGGUGGGAGGCUUUGAAGUGUGGACGCCAGUCUGCAUGGAGCCGACCUUGAAAUACCACCCUUUAAUGUUUGAUGUUCUAACGUGGACCCGUAAUCCGGGUUGCGGACAGUGUCUGGUGGGUAGUUUGACUGGGGCGGUCUCCUCCUAAAGAGUAACGGAGGAGCACGAAGGUUGGCUAAUCCUGGUCGGACAUCAGGAGGUUAGUGCAAUGGCAUAAGCCAGCUUGACUGCGAGCGUGACGGCGCGAGCAGGUGCGAAAGCAGGUCAUAGUGAUCCGGUGGUUCUGAAUGGAAGGGCCAUCGCUCAACGGAUAAAAGGUACUCCGGGGAUAACAGGCUGAUACCGCCCAAGAGUUCAUAUCGACGGCGGUGUUUGGCACCUCGAUGUCGGCUCAUCACAUCCUGGGGCUGAAGUAGGUCCCAAGGGUAUGGCUGUUCGCCAUUUAAAGUGGUACGCGAGCUGGGUUUAGAACGUCGUGAGACAGUUCGGUCCCUAUCUGCCGUGGGCGCUGGAGAACUGAGGGGGGCUGCUCCUAGUACGAGAGGACCGGAGUGGACGCAUCACUGGUGUUCGGGUUGUCAUGCCAAUGGCACUGCCCGGUAGCUAAAUGCGGAAGAGAUAAGUGCUGAAAGCAUCUAAGCACGAAACUUGCCCCGAGAUGAGUUCUCCCUGAGACUUUAGGUCUCCUGAAGGAACGUUGAAGACGACGACGUUGAUAGGCCGGGUGUGUAAGCGCAGCGAUGCGUUGAGCUAACCGGUACUAAUGAACCGUGAGGCUUAACCUUACAACGCCGAAG
This 1569-nucleotide ribosomal RNA is filed under the name Salmonella enterica subsp. enterica serovar Virginia str. SA19971529. RNAcentral describes it as "bacterial LSU rRNA". It matches the Rfam family "Bacterial large subunit ribosomal RNA", at positions 1390 to 2925 of the family's 2925-position model. Lineage: Bacteria; Pseudomonadati; Pseudomonadota; Gammaproteobacteria; Enterobacterales; Enterobacteriaceae. The record is from RNAcentral.